AGAGUUUGAUCCUGGCUCAGAUUGAACGCUGGCGGAAUGCUUUACACAUGCAAGUCGAGCGGCAGCGCGGGGGCAACCCUGGCGGCGAGCGGCGAACGGGUGAGUAACAUAUCGGAACGUACCCUGUCGUGGGGGAUAACACAGCGAAAGUUGUGCUAAUACCGCAUACGACCUGAGGGUGAAAGCGGGGGAUCGCAAGACCUCGCGCGAUAGGAGCGGCCGAUAUCGGAUUAGCUAGUUGGUGAGGUAAAGGCUCACCAAGGCGACGAUCCGUAGCUGGUCUGAGAGGACGACCAGCCACACUGGAACUGAGACACGGUCCAGACUCCUACGGGAGGCAGCAGUGGGGAAUUUUGGACAAUGGGGGCAACCCUGAUCCAGCCAUUCCGCGUGAGUGAAGAAGGCCUUCGGGUUGUAAAGCUCUUUCGGCAGGAACGAAACGGUGGUCCUUAAUACGGGCUACUAAUGACGGUACCUGAAGAAGAAGCACCGGCUAACUACGUGCCAGCAGCCGCGGUAAUACGUAGGGUGCGAGCGUUAAUCGGAAUUACUGGGCGUAAAGCGUGCGCAGGCGGUUAUAUAAGACAGAUGUGAAAUCCCCGGGCUUAACCUGGGAACUGCGUUUGUGACUGUAUAACUCGAGUGUGGCAGAGGGGGGUGGAAUUCCACGUGUAGCAGUGAAAUGCGUAGAGAUGUGGAGGAACACCGAUGGCGAAGGCAGCCCCCUGGGUCAACACUGACGCUCAUGCACGAAAGCGUGGGGAGCAAACAGGAUUAGAUACCCUGGUAGUCCACGCCGUAAACGAUGUCAACUAGCCGUUGGGAGUCUUGAACUCUUAGUGGCGCAGCUAACGCAUUAAGUUGACCGCCUGGGGAGUACGGCCGCAAGGUUAAAACUCAAAGGAAUUGACGGG
This 914-nucleotide ribosomal RNA is filed under the name uncultured bacterium. Its description in RNAcentral is "bacterial SSU rRNA". It matches the Rfam family "Bacterial small subunit ribosomal RNA", at positions 8 to 917 of the family's 1533-position model. The record is from RNAcentral.